AUUGAACGCUGGCGGCAUGCUUUACACAUGCAAGUCGAACGGCAGCACGGGGGCAACCCUGGUGGCGAGUGGCGAACGGGUGAGUAACACAUCGGAACGUGCCCAGUUGUGGGGGAUAACCUAUCGAAAGGUAGGCUAAUACCGCAUGAGCUCGGCAAGAGGAAAGCGGGGGACUCAGCGAUGGGCCUCGCGCGACUGGAGCGGCCGAUGUCCGAUUAGCUAGUUGGUGGGGUAAAGGCUUACCAAGGCGACGAUCGGUAGCUGGUCUGAGAGGAUGAUCAGCCACACUGGGACUGAGACACGGCCCAGACUCCUACGGGAGGCAGCAGUGGGGAAUUUUGGACAAUGGGGCAACCCUGAUCCAGCCAUGCCGCGUGAGUGAAGAAGGCCUGG
Molecule: ribosomal RNA, 393 nt
Filed under: uncultured bacterium
Lineage: Bacteria
Description: bacterial SSU rRNA
Rfam family: Bacterial small subunit ribosomal RNA
Source: RNAcentral